AACACUGUUAACCUGCGGUACCUGCGGAAGGAUCAUUACCGAGUUUACAACUCCCAAACCCCGUGAACAUACCAAUUGUUGCCUCGGCGGAUCAGCCCGCUCCCGGUAAAACGGGACGGCCCGCCAGAGGACCCCUAAACUCUGUUUCUAUAUGUAACUUCUGAGUAAAACCAUAAAUAAAUCAAAACUUUCAACAAUGGAUCU
Molecule: unclassified non-coding RNA, 204 nt
Filed under: soil metagenome
Description: partial contains 5.8S ribosomal RNA, internal transcribed spacer 2, and large subunit ribosomal RNA
Source: RNAcentral